UGCCAGCAGCCGCGGUAAUACGUAGGCAGCAAGCGUUGUUCGGAAUUACUGGGCGUAAAGAGUGUGUAGGCGGUUCUCUAAGUUCGGUGUGAAAUCUCCUGGCUUAACCGGGAGGGUGCGCCGAAAACUGGAGGGCUUGAGUAUGGGAGAGGAAAGCGGAAUUCCUGGUGUAGCGGUGAAAUGCGUAGAUAUCAGGAGGAACACCUGCGGUGUAGACAGCUUUCUGGACCAUCACUGACGCUGAGACACGAAAGCGUGGGUAGCAAACAGGAUUAGAUACCCUGGUAGUCCACGCCCUAAACGAUGCAUACUUGGUGUGAGCCGUUCAUUCGGUUCGUGCCGGAGCUAACGCGUUAAGUAUGCCGCCUGGGGAGUACGGUCGCAAGGCUAAACUCAAAGAAUGACGG
RNAcentral lists this ribosomal RNA (407 nucleotides) under uncultured bacterium. RNAcentral describes it as "bacterial SSU rRNA". It matches the Rfam family "Bacterial small subunit ribosomal RNA", at positions 506 to 916 of the family's 1533-position model. The record is from RNAcentral.